AACCCAUAGUGAGGGAACCUUCUCAAUAAGUCCUUGUAUCUCUUUCAUGCAUCAUAAAGAGUUUCUAGAUCAAUCUACACAAAAGAUGAGAUAUCAUUCCUAAAUUU
This is a small nucleolar RNA of Gossypium arboreum, 107 nucleotides long. It matches the Rfam family "Plant small nucleolar RNA R71". From Rfam's summary of the family: R71 is a member of the C/D box family of snoRNAs containing the C (UGAUGA) and D (CUGA) box motifs. The record is from Rfam. Lineage: Eukaryota; Viridiplantae; Streptophyta; Magnoliopsida; Malvales; Malvaceae.